This 3348-nucleotide long non-coding RNA is filed under the name Calidris pygmaea (Spoon-billed sandpiper). RNAcentral describes it as "lncRNA (ENSCPGG00000018870.1)". The record is from RNAcentral. Lineage: Eukaryota; Metazoa; Chordata; Aves; Charadriiformes; Scolopacidae.
GUUUGGAAUCGCACCGGGAAAUUACGCCCUUCCAGGGACGGCAUCAUCGAGAGGACGCUUGACGAGCGCAAUUUUCUUAUGUGCCUGUCAGCAAAUCGCUUAAUCCGUGCUGCGCCCAGUUCCCCAGCCGUUAAAUGGGGAAUGAUUAUCCCCCUAUGAGGGGGUGAGAAUAAUACCCACUAAUGAUGGGGGGGCGGGGGGGGUGCUGGAAGGUGGCCAGGGAGAUGCGCAGUGACACACGGAGGGGCUGCAGGAACACGCCGCAUUUUGAAACCAACCUUUAGAGAUUAAAUCCUCCUCCUCCUGCUCUUUUUUUUUUUUUUUUUUUUNCCCCCCUCUCCGUGCCGGAUUUUAACAGAUUUCUCUGCCGCUCCCCGGGGUGGGGACAUCCCCAGGGCCGGGGGGAAAGAAGAGGAAGAUGCCGACAUGCGCCGGGAAAAGCAUCUGGGGGGAGCCGGGAGAGGUCCCCCCCCGCCCUCUGCCGGACCCCCCCCCGCCUCGGGGACACACGCCGCCUCCUGGGAAUUGUAGUCAUCGCGGGGUGACCUUGGCUCCGCCGGGCGGGGGCGGCCGGUCCUGGGCCGGGGAGCCCGGGGGGGGGGCCCCCGCCGCAUCCCCCGCCCCCGCUCCGCCCCGGGCAAUGGCCGCCCCGGCAGCCGCUGCGGCCCCCCCGGGACCGGACGGGGAGAGGCAGGGAUGCUGCGCGCCAGGCAGGUGUGUUACCAGCCUUGACUGCUCUGCUCUAAAGCCACCAAGGAAGUCAGAGGAACAGGAAACAAAGGGCAUUAAAAGUGCUUUGGAGGAAGGCGUUACCAUGGAGAUGGACAGUUGGGUGGCUUUUUUCCCCCCCCUGCUUUUUUUUUCCCCCGUGCUAUUGGGUCCUUCUCAAACAAACCUGUGUGGUCUUGAUAACAGGACUUCUGUCUGUCUUCCCUUGCGACAGCCCAAAGCUGUAGGGCAUCUGCCUGCUGGGUUUCAUGGUUUCCAUUGCUAAACCUCAGCAUCGAAGUUCAGUGAUCCAUCAACCCUGGGCUGCUCGGAGCAGCUCCCUCCCAGUGGCAGGUACCUCACCGUGACAGGUUUCCCCAUCUCCUGGUCUCUGGGAAACGGAUUUACAGGAGGCAGCUUUAUGGUCUUUGCGCUGCAGGAAUUACUUUCGUAUUCUGGAAAAGCAGUAUCUGCCUUUAAAGUAGGAUUUAGCAUUUCUGGUACAGUCCCAUACUUGCCUACCUGGGUUCACUUUCCUGUGGUGGCCAUUCCUCAGCUGGCACAAUUAAAACAUUUUAAAAUGCAUUAUUCCUUCUAUCAAUGCUUUAUGAAAAUGGCCAGAUGGGCAGAUGGUGUGGAGGCUGUGCAGAACCAAAUCCAUGAGUUGGGGGGGGUCGUGGACUCUCCUGCAGGAGACCUCGGACACGUUUCACCUUUGGCUGCAGCGGAGGGAGGUGAAGAAAGGCUCCAUCUCCAGCAAAGGAGCCACAGAUCCCCAGAAGGACGUUACAGAGAGUGGCUGUUACGUCUCACAGAGGGAACCGCUAACGAGAGAGGCUGAAAAGCAAACCCUCAGGGAUGCUGGAGCUCCCGGGAGGUAGUCCUGAUGAAAGAGCCCGUGUCAGAGGGAGGACUGGGAUGUAGGUCUCAUUGAUGGCCUUACUUCACCCAUCACAUCCAGGCUGCUUCCCUGAAUUCCCCUUGAGCACCUCUUCUCACCUGAUGGAUGACCGAAACGAGGUACCUUCAAUGCCAGAAGACACUUUGCUGCACGAACUCCCAUUUUGCAGACUAUUCCUCUUUUGAGGAAGAGCAGCUGUUCUGAUGAAGCAGACGGACCGUGUGUCCUGAGGAGCAGCAACUGAAAUCCUGCAAGAUCUUCUAAAUGGCUGAGGUGUUUGGAGUCAUGGAAGGGCUUGGGUUGGAAGGGACCUUUAAAGAUCAUCUGGUCCGACCCCCAAAUUUGUUCUUUCACGGUACCAGCCACCUUCCCUCUCCAGAUGAGAGAAUUCCCCCCCUGGGCAGAGGGUCAGUGUAGGCAACUUCCUUUCUCUUGAACACACUUAAACGAAAUGCCGUUGUAUGAAAAAUACUUUCUAGAAAUGGCCAGCACAAGCCCUCCUGCUGCUGUGCGUCGCUCUCGGGGGGGAGGCUGUUUCCAGCUGGUGCUUUACUCUCUCUUUUCAAGACCUCCACAGCAGAAGGAGGUACGUCGUGUCCGAGGUGAUGCUGCUGGAGCUGUGUCCUGUCUGCCCUGAGACACCUUCCUCCCGUUGGCAGGGAGCUGUGCCUGAACUGCCCGGGCAUCCCCUGCUCCUCCUCUGCCUUUCCCCCCCCUCCCACCCACCCUUCUCCAGAACAACAUUAGGAACCGUGACCCCGCAAACACCACCUCACUUUUGGGGUUGGUUUUUUUUGCAGUUUCAGGCAACUGGGCUGUGCACAUGGACCGUCCCCACGGUGGGACUGUAGGUUCAGCUGUGACAAGCUGGGUGUUACUACCACGGGGUGACAGGCACCUCUGCAAGAUAACUCCUGGGUUGCCAUGGUUACAGAUGGAAAAUAGGGCUACGGGUUAACUCAGGCCAGUGUCGCAUGAAGCACAACAUCCCACGUCAUUUUGCGCACACCUGGGACAGCGAAGGCUGGAGCAGCGGCCACCACAAACCCCCGAGUCCCCACCCCGCCCCGAGUUUGUCCAGUAAACUCCCCAAAACUUCCCGAAAUUAAAUCCUUGUGCACAACAGGCUCAGGGAUGGAUCUGGGGUCGGAGGGAAUCAGCCUCCGGCAGAGGACCCCGUCUCAGCCCCAUCCCCCAUUAUAUAUUACUUAUUAGUGCACCCCAAAUGGUAAGGCCUUGGGUAAGCAUGGAUUUUUAGGAGUUUUCACGCUCUGAAUAUUGAAGAGGAAUUCUCAGUCAGGCCUGGACCUCGCCUCCAGACUGUGGUUGCAUCUGGGAAGCAAAGCAGAUCCCUUGGGCUGGACCAGAGGUCAGGAGCUGAUGCAGCCUCUGAUGGAGCAGCCAGUGGUGCCCCCGUUCUGGCAGUCCCGAGCGUCCCCAGAACUUCAUCAUCUCCAGGGCUUGGUGAGAACCUCCCUGGAAAAACAAAGGGACAAAUGAAGCCUGGAGUGACCAAAAAAAAAAAAAAAAGAAAAGAAAAAAGUGCAGAGGUAUCAGUGAAGAGGAGGUAACAGGCCUGCUGGAAGCACCACUCAUGGCUUUGGAAAUACUGUGUCCCUCACUUUGAUGGUCCAGCCCGAAGGAAUGAAAAGUGAUGGUGUGGGAACGGCUCGAAAGAGCAGGAGCUCGUGUCCACGCAGCCAAUGGGCAAAUAAAUUGAAUUCACACCAUUAACGUCA